This 75-nucleotide transfer RNA is filed under the name Chloroflexota bacterium. RNAcentral describes it as "Chloroflexi bacterium tRNA-Thr". It matches the Rfam family "tRNA". Rfam says of the family: Transfer RNA (tRNA) molecules are approximately 80 nucleotides in length. Their secondary structure includes four short double-helical elements and three loops (D, anti-codon, and T loops). RNAcentral also lists the same sequence under 1 other name. Lineage: Bacteria; Bacillati; Chloroflexota. The record is from RNAcentral.
GCCCUAGUGGCGCAGUGGUAGCGCAACUGAUUUGUAAUCAGUAGGUCGGGGGUUCAAAUCCUCCCUAGGGCUCCA